UACGAAGGGUGCAAGCGUUACUCGGAAUUACUGGGCGUAAAGCGUGCGUAGGUGGUGAGUUAAGUCUGAUGUGAAAUCCCCGGGCUCAACCUGGGAAUGGCAUUGGAUACUGGCUCGCUAGAGUGUGGCAGAGGGGGGUAGAAUUCCACGUGUAGCAGUGAAAUGCGUAGAGAUGUGGAGGAAUACCGAUGGCGAAGGCAGCCCCCUGGGCCAACACUGACGCUCAUGCACGAAAGCGUGGGGAGCAAACAGG
This 253-nucleotide ribosomal RNA is filed under the name uncultured bacterium. RNAcentral's name for it is "partial 16S ribosomal RNA". It matches the Rfam family "Bacterial small subunit ribosomal RNA", at positions 524 to 776 of the family's 1533-position model. The record is from RNAcentral.